RNAcentral lists this long non-coding RNA (5871 nucleotides) under Nicotiana tabacum (common tobacco). Its description in RNAcentral is "long non-coding RNA (NTAB_LNC015732)". Lineage: Eukaryota; Viridiplantae; Streptophyta; Magnoliopsida; Solanales; Solanaceae. The record is from RNAcentral.
CCUUAUUCAACCCUUGAGCACACUACAAGGACCCCUGAACCCUAGACACAAGCAGUCGCAUCUCCACCCACCUUCACUGAACCAGCAGCUCACCGGAAACCGCUGCCAGCCACUCCUUCAUAUUCUUCUUCAUCUCCAAGCCACAGCAACACCAGCGACUCUCAACCAAUCGACCAGCCAGCCGCCCGCUAGCCUAAUGCCAUCAACGACCAUCCAAGCUUCUUCUUCAACAUGAAAAGAAUCAACAGCAGCUGAACAAAAAGCCAUCAAAGACCAAAAUCUAAAAAAAAACCAUCUGUCUUCAUCUUCAACCUUGGACAGCCAUUUUCUUUGGUAACAUAUGUAAGAUUAGUGAACAAAAAAAGAUAAACUUAUUGUAAUAUUACAUCAUUGCAGCAUAUCCCGAAGAAAAUAGAAGUAUUGGCUGCGUUAGUUAACUAGUCAUUAUUUUAGUUCUAUCCUAAGUCCGAUUUCAGAUUUUAGCUUCUUCGUCUGAUUUCUGAUCUUGAAACCAUGGAAUCUGACUAAAUUUGAUGGAAAUCGUUUUAGUUUCGAGCUUCCGGUGCCGAUUCGAGUUUUCGUCUGCGGUUUCGGCAUUUGCAUUGUAAAAUUGCCAUACAAUGAAACUUCAGGUUCAUUGAGGUCGAUUUCUCAUUUCCCUUCUACUUCUUGUUUGCUUAACAUCAUGCUCUUAUUAUUUGGUUAAUCUAUUAUUAUUCUGUCUUUGAACGACAUUUUGUUGUUAUUGCUGUUUAGUUUAAUAUGUUUGGAUGAAUUUUGAUAGUUAGAGUGAGUUUUUUCCAUAUUUAGUUGUUACAGUUACUAUUCAGAUGACAAAAUGAUUAAUUAUACAUAUAUAAGUAGAUUGAUUGGAGUUCUGUAUUGAAUAUGGGGUUCUGGACAUAUAGAAUGGGAAACUAAAUUCAUCACGUUAAUAGUUUUAUCUUGUUUGCUUGAACUCGCUAGUAGCAUGCUUAGGCCAACCACACUGGGUAGUCAAGCCUUAGGAUUUUGUUAGUUUCGAGGCGAGGGGUCGUUCCCUUAGUUAAAUUUAUCCGGGGAAUGCCCCGAGGGAUUUGUAUAUAUUUUUUUGCAGGGGCAUGCCCCGAAGUGAAUGUAAUUGGAGGCCGUGGCGAACAUCGCAGAAGAAAUAGCAUAGGAUAAUUUAGAACUUUAAUUUUUCUCCUUUUAAUUUUCUUUCAUUUAGGUGGGGACGACUUCGAGCCUCUUUUGAUUGUUUAUUUUCAUUUUGUGUGUUACUACCUCAAUUUGAAUGUUUCAAAAGCCAACUUGAUCGAGUACGCCACCGUACUAGUUACGGGACUUGGGAAGUGCCUAACACCUUCUCCCCGAGUCAAAUGAACUCUCUUACUCGAAUCUUUGGUGCAGAUUUAGUUUUGGAGUUUCAAGUGUUUUGAAAGGAAAAUAUCAUUUUUAGAAAAAACGGUGACCUGGCACACCGAAAUCAAUGUUAGGUGGCGACUCUGAGUUAAUCCUUUUGAACACAAAUUUUUGCCACUUUUUAAUUAAAACCCCCUUUUGAGCUUUACAAAUCCUUUUACUAUUUAUAAGAGGGUUAGUGAAGUUGGUGAAAAAGGGGUGUGAGAUCUUUGGCGACUCUGCUGGGGACUUGCAGGUUCGAGCUAGUACUUGAUCUUGUUGGCUUUUUAGGUUGUUCGGUUGAGGUUUUUAUGUGUUUUAUUUGCUUUAUUUGAUUUAUUUUUGUUUAUGUCGCUUUAUUUGCUAGUUGGUUUAUGUAUUUACAGUUUUUCCUUUAUGUGUUACUGCUUUAUAACUGUCAUCAUAUGCAUUACUUGGUCAAUUCUUUCUGCGACAAGUUUCGGAGUGCGCGUCGCGUACACGAACUCUUCGUUGAGUCACCCUUAUUUUAGGAGGGGAGGCCGUCGGACGUAUGGAGGGGUGGAAAGCUUGAGCAGCCACAAUCGACCAUACGCUCCCCGAAUUGCUUUGUUAGUGAACCACAAACUUAGGUCAGUCUUUAGGUCAUUUUUAUUUGCAUCAUGUCAUUUAGACCUAGUAGGGCUCGGUUUCAAGUACCGUGUCUUUUUGUAGGAAGCCUAUCCAAAUAUUGUCAAAAUGGGCCCGUGGCACAAAAAGACAUUCAAUCAUCCUUAUGUGAUACAUGUUGCAUCUUUGAAGGUGAAAAGGUCAUUUGGCGGACCGAUAUUUGGGAAAGAAGGGUGAAAAUGGAAGCAAGUAGGGCCUAGUUAUAUUUUUCUCUCACAACUUUUUCGAGAAAAAAAAACAAAAAAAAUUGAAAAAGAAAAUCCAAAAUUUUUACAUUUUCCAAAAAUUCAAAAAAAAGGAGAAAAAGAAAAUCCAAAAAGAUUUUAUAUUUUUCAUCAUUUUUUAAAAAAAAGACAAAAAUAUAGUUUUUCCAAAUUAGUUGCAUUUUUCAAAGCUUUCUUCCAUGUCCAAUCCUAUGUAUACAACCCACAUAGGGUCCGGUCUUCCUAGUAAGUCUUAGGUUCUUGGCUUUGCGGGGUCUUAGCCAAAUCUUGCAUGUCUAGCCACUUUUGGCCAUAUCGACCAUUAUUGCAAAAUGGGGUCAUUUUUGCAAAAGUGGUUCAAUUACCCAUGUCUUAGGAUCUUGAGUCCACAACUAGGUGUCAUAUUACUUUAAGGUCCGUCCUUUUUGAGUUUGCAUCUUUGGCCACUUCUGGCCAUAUCGGUCGUUUUGCAAAAUGGGUCAUUUCUGCAAAUUGAUUUUGGGCCAUGAUUAUUGGGAGUUCGAAUCCAUAUAGGCCUUAGUGAGGUAUGUCCAUGUAUUUGAGGUCAUCUUUGUUGAGUUUGCGCUAAUAGUCACAUUUUGGCUACGUAGGUCAUUUUGCAAAAAUAGCCUUAAUCAUGCCUUGCAUGUGUCUAAUAGAAGGUGUCGUGGCGUCACAUGUGUCUUGAGUCACUAACUCUAUUUGAUCUUAUUUUUUCCAUUCAGGUAUGUAUCAAUUUGCUAGAGAUUGAGCAUGAUAAAUACCACAGGACCAUUCUAGUCAAGACCAUUGUAUACACGAGCUGUUUGAGGAAACUUUUUAUUUUUCAGUUUAUCUUAUAUUAUCUUUUAAUUUUUAGUCUUGUACAGUAGUAUCGAGCCUGUCAAUCUAGUUAAGAUUGUUGAGUCUUUUGUUAUAGUACUUCCUGUUUUGUGUUUGAAAAACCAAAAAAAAAGUUAUAAAUGGAAAAUUCAAAAGAUUUGUUUUAGUUUAUUUUGUCCAUUAUUUUUCAGAACUACACUUGAUCUGAUUCAUGAGAGACAUGAUAUGUAGGCAAUCUACAUAGGUUUCGAUCGAAUUAUUUUUUUUAAAAAAAACUCAAAUAAAAAAAAAAGAAAAAAAGAAUGAAUUUGCGGGACAUGAGAAAUGAGAGGAAAGAAAAGAGUGAUAAUCAGAAAGAAAAGAGGAGAAAGAAAUGAAAAACCAAGCGGUGUUAGAAAGGAAGAUGAAGAAGGAAAUGGGGCAAAAGGAGUGAAAUUGGGAUGAUUCCAAAUAACCUUGUGACCCUCGAAGUUAUUCUAGAACCAUUAAUUGUUGCUAGGGGCAUUGCACGCAAUGUGAUAUUUCUAUCUGAUAAAUGCUCUAACGCUAACAUGUUGGCUUUAUUUUGCUCCUUUUUGUUACUUUCAUUGUUACUAUAACAGAGGGUGGUUAGUUUGUGGCGCUUUGGUGAUUUGUCCAUACAAUACAAGGUCAAAAAGCAAGGAAGCUAUGGCUAGCAAAGACUUGGACAUAGGAGUUGUCGACCCCUCGAGGGAGAUUGUGGAGUCGGAGUCUGAAUUGAAAGAGGAGGUCCAAAGAUUGAAACAAUAGAUGGCAUAAAUGUAUCAAUUUUGGAUCAAGGGGCAUCCUCCACCUUCAUUCCCCACUAACUACACUGAAAACCCUGCAACUAUCCCACCACUAUCACAAGCCCAAGUUCCCACUGCUGCUGAUAUCUCCCCAUAACCUUUUCACACUCCACCCCUCAAAAGCACAUCAUAUCCCGCUCCUUUGACCACUCGUAUUUUUGUAGCUCAUCCACCAGCUACUCUUCCUCGAUCCUCUAAUGAGACUGUGUUCAAAGUCCCCGAUGCUUAAAGAANNNNNNNNNNNNNNNNNNNNNNNNNNNNNNNNNNNNNNNNNNNNNNNNNNNNNNNNNNNNNNNNAAAUGCUUUCAGCCUCAAUACCGACCCCAUGAAUAUCCUCGUACUCCAAAUAAUCCUCCCCAAUGCUACUUUCCUCCACAAAAUCCCUAAAGGCAUACCUCACCUCCCCAGUACUUUAUCCACAAUGCAUCGACAUAUGCUCUACACCCACAAAACCCGCAACAGCUUGCACCGCCUCCACAAAUGUCUUACCUACCUCUACAAGCAUAUCAACCCCCUACCCGAAAGAGGUUCCAACCAAGACCGGAGUACAAAAUGAUAAGGCAGCAGCAAAGAGAAAAGUCUUUCUCUUCUAUUGGAGAAUCAUAUGCCAUUUUGUUCCAAUGGUUAAGGCAAUUGGACAUAUUGAAACCGAUUCAGAUAAAAAUGUCGAAACACAUUCCAAAGAGUUUUGAUUUUUCUCAAAGGUGCGCAUACUGCUCUAAUGCCCUGGGGCACGACAUAAAAAAGUGUUGGCAUCUGAAAAGAGCAAUCCAGAAGCUUAUUGAUGCAGGUGACAUUACCGUGCAAAAUCCAAAUGCAACAGAUACUAGCCAAAGUCCAUUACCUGUGCAUAAUGAGACACAUGUGGUGGGCAUGAUUUGUGUGGAAAAGGAAUAUGAGAACUCUUUUGAAUCCCUUGUGAGGCCACCUACUGCAAAGUUUUCAGCGUUAUCAGUCUCGGUUCCAGAGGUUGAUCUUAAGAACGAAUUGGCAAAAGGGACCCAAAAGCUAUUUGUUAAGGUCAACGUGAUGGAGAUUUGUGGAGGUUCUCAUAAUAUUGAUGUGGAACUCAGUGGCUAAGAUGUCGAGCUUGGUGAUUGGAAAGACACUCCUUUCUUGGCUAGCCAGGGAGGAGUUUUGGUGGUUUAUUUUGUUGUCAUUUCUACUGUCCGGGUUAUUUCAGGGUUGUAAUCCAGAUAUUGUCUUGUGGCUCAAACUUUUCUUCUUCUUUUUGCCUAGUUCAUUUUAUUGUAGUAACUCAUCUAGUUUUAUCUAGGAUUGUUCCAGGGUUGCAACUCAUGUCUAUUUUGCUUGUUUUGUUCAAACCUUUUUCACCAUCUGUCUAAUGCAAUCUCUUGUUUUCUGUUAGUUCUAGUCCGUCUUUGUUUAGGUUACUUUUCCUUUUAUAGUCCUUUUCAGCCUAACUCUAGUGACAUGACAUGCACGCAUAAUUCUCAGCCAGGUCUUGAAAGUUAGUUUAAUCAUGAAGCAAUAACACAGUUUUGAACAUGAUAAAAAGAGGCAUUUGAGGAAACAAGUAAAGAUUCAUUCAUUCUGAGAUAACCUGAAUCUUGAAUUGAGUGAAACUGAGGCAGUUAGUCUAGAAAUCAAGAGGUUGAUGAGAGCAUACAACAAGGGAAUGUCUCUCAAGCAGUUUGAGGUAGAUCAAUCAGUGCUGAAAUGCAUUCUUCCACAUCAAGAUAAGUUUGAAUCAAGUCUGCUUCGAACUGGCAAGGAUCAUUCAUUGGUACAGAGGUAUUGCCCAUUGGCACUUUUGUUUGGAUUUCUUUUCUUAUCUUCAACUGCAUGUUUGUACUUGGCAUUUUUAAAGAUUGGUAUGACGAAGGCAUUUUAUUCUGCUACCCAAACACUUUUAUCCUUUGCUACCCAUUUUGGGCCAAAUUUUUUGUUUCAUGCCCCUCUUUUGGAAUCAGAAAUAGAGUCAGGAACUAGAAAUAAAAAGAAAAAGAGAAAGAGAAGAAAAAAAGAAGGAAAAGAGAAAAAAAAAA